GCCGCCAUGGUGAAAUUGGUAGACACGCUGCUCUCAGAAAGCAGUGCGAGAGCAUCUCGGUUCGAGUCCGAGUGGCGGCA
This 80-nucleotide transfer RNA is filed under the name Plantago maritima (sea plantain). Its description in RNAcentral is "tRNA-Leu". It matches the Rfam family "tRNA". From Rfam's summary of the family: Transfer RNA (tRNA) molecules are approximately 80 nucleotides in length. Their secondary structure includes four short double-helical elements and three loops (D, anti-codon, and T loops). Further hydrogen bonds mediate the characteristic L-shaped molecular structure. tRNAs have two regions of fundamental functional importance: the anti-codon, which is responsible for specific mRNA codon recognition, and the 3' end, to which the tRNAs corresponding amino acid is attached (by aminoacyl-tRNA synthetases). tRNAs cope with the degeneracy of the genetic code in two manners: having more than one tRNA (with a specific anti-codon) for a particular amino acid; and 'wobble' base-pairing, i.e. permitting non-standard base-pairing at the 3rd anti-codon position. RNAcentral also lists the same sequence under 1 other name. The record is from RNAcentral. Lineage: Eukaryota; Viridiplantae; Streptophyta; Magnoliopsida; Lamiales; Plantaginaceae.